RNAcentral lists this unclassified non-coding RNA (250 nucleotides) under uncultured fungus. RNAcentral describes it as "partial contains 5.8S ribosomal RNA, internal transcribed spacer 2, and large subunit ribosomal RNA". The record is from RNAcentral. Lineage: Eukaryota; Fungi.
AACGCACAUUGCGCCCAUUGGUAUUCCUUUGGGCAUGCCUGUUCGAGCGUCAUUUCAACCUUCAAGCACGGCUUGGUGUUGGGCGCCUGCCCCCGGGUCCUCCCUGGGGGCUCGCCUCGAAAUCAUUGGCGGCGGACGCGCCGGCCCGGAGCGCAGUACACGAGCGCUCCGGGGACUGGCGCGGCCGCGAGCCAGGAGCGCGAUCCAGCAGAUUGACCUCGGAUCAGGUAGGGAUACCCGCUGAACUUAA